This 504-nucleotide ribosomal RNA is filed under the name uncultured bacterium. RNAcentral describes it as "partial 16S ribosomal RNA". It matches the Rfam family "Bacterial small subunit ribosomal RNA", at positions 28 to 523 of the family's 1533-position model. The record is from RNAcentral.
GAUGAACGCUGGCGGCAUGCUUAAUACAUGCAAGUCGAGGGGCAGCAGCUUUAUAGCAAUAUAGAGGCUGGCGACCGGCAAACGGGUGCGGAACACGUACACAACCUUCCUUUAAGAGGGGGAUAGCCCAUAGAAAUGUGGAUUAAUACCCCGUAACAUAUCGGUGUGGCAUCACACUGUUAUUAUAGUUUCGACGCUUGAAGAUGGGUGUGCGGCUGAUUAGGUAGUUGGCGGGGUAAAGGCCCACCAAGCCUUCGAUCAGUAGCUGAUGUGAGGGCAUGACCAGCCACACGGGCACUGAGACACGGGCCCGACUCCUACGGGAGGCAGCAGUAAGGAAUAUUGGUCAAUGGACGCAAGUCUGAACCAGCCAUGCCGCGUGAAGGAUGAAGGUCCUCUGGAUUGUAAACUUCUUCUAUAGGGGGCGAAAAAAGGGAAUUCUUUCUCACUUGACAGUACCCUAUGAAUAAGCACCGGCUAACUCCGUGCCAGCAGCCGCGGUAA